UUCCCUUCUAGUUUGAUCAAUUCCAUUCUGAUCUGAUCUUGGGGAAAGCCACUAUCUACUGAGGGUCUCCCUUGGGUGCCCCGGCCUUGUGCCGGCCCUCAAGUGUGAGGAACCCCUCACUAUCUGAACCAGAAGAGUUUACCAUCUGGCACUUCUGGUUCCAACGGCACCUUCUGGCACACUUCUUUUAAGAGGUGGCUGUACUUUGAGGCAGCAGAAUGCCAGAGGUAAAGGUGCUAUUCAGUGUACUGGAGGAGUACAUGAAGGAGAACACCUUCGACGAGGCCAUUCUUGCCUAUUAUG
Molecule: long non-coding RNA, 303 nt
Organism: Xenopus tropicalis (tropical clawed frog)
Lineage: Eukaryota; Metazoa; Chordata; Amphibia; Anura; Pipidae
Exons: 3
Source: RefSeq, a predicted model, not a curated record